This 210-nucleotide ribosomal RNA is filed under the name uncultured prokaryote. RNAcentral describes it as "partial 16S ribosomal RNA". It matches the Rfam family "Archaeal small subunit ribosomal RNA", at positions 330 to 539 of the family's 1478-position model. The record is from RNAcentral.
GUGCACCAGGCGCGAAACUUCUGCAAUGCGCGAAAGCGCGACAGAGUCACCCCGAGUGCCAUCCGCUGAGGAUGGCUUUUGCCCUAUGUAAAAAGUAGGGCGAAUAAGCGGGGGGCAAGUUCUGGUGUCAGCCGCCGCGGUAAUACCAGCCCCGCGAGUGGACACGACGAUUAUUGAGCCCUAAAGCGUCCGUAGCCGGUUCUGCAAGUC